RNAcentral lists this ribosomal RNA (1503 nucleotides) under uncultured Enterobacter sp. RNAcentral describes it as "bacterial SSU rRNA". It matches the Rfam family "Bacterial small subunit ribosomal RNA". Lineage: Bacteria; Pseudomonadati; Pseudomonadota; Gammaproteobacteria; Enterobacterales; Enterobacteriaceae. The record is from RNAcentral.
GAGUUUGAUCAUGGCUCAGAUUGAACGCUGGCGGCAGGCCUAACACAUGCAAGUCGAACGGUAACAGGAAGUAGCUUGCUACUUUGCUGACGAGUGGCGGACGGGUGAGUAAUGUCUGGGAAACUGCCUGAUGGAGGGGGAUAACUACUGGAAACGGUAGCUAAUACCGCAUAACGUCGCAAGACCAAAGAGGGGGACCUUCGGGCCUCUUGCCAUCAGAUGUGCCCAGAUGGGAUUAGCUAGUAGGUGGGGUAACGGCUCACCUAGGCGACGAUCCCUAGCUGGUCUGAGAGGAUGACCAGCCACACUGGAACUGAGACACGGUCCAGACUCCUACGGGAGGCAGCAGUGGGGAAUAUUGCACAAUGGGCGCAAGCCUGAUGCAGCCAUGCCGCGUGUAUGAAGAAGGCCUUCGGGUUGUAAAGUACUUUCAGCGGGGAGGAAGGCGGUGAGGUUAAUAACCUCACCGAUUGACGUUACCCGCAGAAGAAGCACCGGCUAACUCCGUGCCAGCAGCCGCGGUAAUACGGAGGGUGCAAGCGUUAAUCGGAAUUACUGGGCGUAAAGCGCACGCAGGCGGUCUGUCAAGUCGGAUGUGAAAUCCCCGGGCUCAACCUGGGAACUGCAUUCGAAACUGGCAGGCUAGAGUCUUGUAGAGGGGGGUAGAAUUCCAAGUGUAGCGGUGAAAUGCGUAGAGAUCUGGAGGAAUACCGGUGGCGAAGGCGGCCCCCUGGACAAAGACUGACGCUCAGGUGCGAAAGCGUGGGGAGCAAACAGGAUUAGAUACCCUGGUAGUCCACGCCGUAAACGAUGUCGAUUUGGAGGUUGUGCCCUUGAGGCGUGGCUUCCGGAGCUAACGCGUUAAAUCGACCGCCUGGGGAGUACGGCCGCAAGGUUAAAACUCAAAUGAAUUGACGGGGGCCCGCACAAGCGGUGGAGCAUGGUGGUUUAAUUCGAUGCAACGCGAAGAACCUUACCUGGUCUUGACAUCCACAGAACUUAGCAGAGAUGCUUUGGUGCCUUCGGGAACUGUGAGACAGGUGCUGCAUGGCUGUCGUCAGCUCGUGUUGUGAAAUGUUGGGUUAAGUCCCGCAACGAGCGCAACCCUUAUCCUUUGUUGCCAGCGGUCCGGCCGGGAACUCAAAGGAGACUGCCAGUGAUAAACUGGAGGAAGGUGGGGAUGACGUCAAGUCAUCAUGGCCCUUACGACCAGGGCUACACACGUGCUACAAUGGCGCAUACAAAGAGAAGCGACCUCGCGAGAGCAAGCGGACCUCAUAAAGUGCGUCGUAGUCCGGAUUGGAGUCUGCAACUCGACUCCAUGAAGUCGGAAUCGCUAGUAAUCGUAGAUCAGAAUGCUACGGUGAAUACGUUCCCGGGCCUUGUACACACCGCCCGUCACACCAUGGGAGUGGGUUGCAAAAGAAGUAGGUAGCUUAACCUUCGGGAGGGCGCUUACCACUUUGUGAUUCAUGACUGGGGUGAAGUCGUAACAAGGUAACC